UUCCGGUUGAUCCUGCCGGACCCUACUGCUAUCGGGGCGGGACUAAGACAUGCAAGUCGUGCGUCUCUAAGCCAUGGUAGAGACGCGGCGUACGGCUCAGUAACACGUGGCUAACCUACCCUUAGGACGGAGACAACCCCGGGAAACUGGGGCUAAUACCCGAUAGGUGAGGAGGCCUGGAAUGGUUCUUCGCUGAAAAGGCGUUGAAACCAUGCUUUUCAACGUCGCCUAAGGAUGGGGCCGCGUCCGAUCAGGUUGUUGGUGGGGUAACGGCUCACCAAGCCUAUAACCGGUACGGGCCGUGAGAGCGGGAGCCCGGAGAUGGGCACUGAGACAAGGGCCCAGGCCCUACGGGGCGCAGCAGUCGCGAAAACUCCGCAAUGCGCGAAAGCGUGACGGGGCUACCCCGAGUGCCGUCCGCUGAGGAUGGCUUUUCCACGGUGUAAUGAGUCGUGGGAAUAAGAGGGGGGCAAGACUGGUGUCAGCCGCCGCGGUAACACCAGCCCCUCGAGUUGUGGGGACGUUUAUUUGGCCUAAAGCGUCCGUAGCCGGCCCGGUAAGUCCCUCGUUAAAUCCAGCGUCCCAAGCGCUGGGCCGCGAGGGAGACUGCCGAGCUAGAGGGUGGAAGAAGUCAGCGGUAUUCCUGGGGUAGGGGCGAAAUCCAUUGAUCCCAGGAGGACCACCAGUGGCGAAGGCUGCUGACUAGUACACGCCUGACGGUCAGGGACGAAAGCUGGGGGAGCGAAUCGGAUUAGAUACCCGAGUAGUCCCAGCCGUAAACGAUGCACGCUAGGUGUUGGGGCGGCCACGCGCCGCCUCAGUGCCACAGGGAAAGCCAUUAAGCCUGCCGCCUGGGGAGUACGGCCGCAAGGCUGAAACUUAAAGGAAUUGGCGGGGGAGCACAACCAGGCGUGAAGCCUGCGUUUAAUUGGAGUCAACGCCGGG
Molecule: ribosomal RNA, 945 nt
Filed under: uncultured archaeon
Lineage: Archaea
Description: partial 16S ribosomal RNA
Rfam family: Archaeal small subunit ribosomal RNA
Source: RNAcentral